GGGCUGACGUGCUGCUGGACUCCUGCAGCCUCCGCCAUGAGAGCCCAGAGCUUUCUUGCUCUUGCCACCAGAGCUUGCCCCUGCUGGUGGGGCACCCAGGCCAAAGGUUUGGGGUGCUCCACGCUGUGCUUCUGCUCCUGAGUUCUUCUGCCCACUCUCCUCUGACCUUCCCAUCAUGCCCUUUCCUCCUCUAUGUCUUCCUGGAAGAGAGAGUGUCUACUCAUCCACUCCCUUCAAUCUGAGCUUUGAUUGUACUAUGGACCAAUCAAAUGGGGUAGAAAUGAUGCCGUGGAUUGAUUGGCAGUUCUGCUUCCUUCCUGUUGGAGCUCAAGUUACCAUACUCUGAGGAAGCUCAAGCAGCCUCAUGGAGGUCCAUGUGGAGAUGGCAUAUCUCCUCAUUCUGCAUGGAUUUUGUCCACCUAACUCUCAGAGGGAAGUCUUCCAGCUUAACGGUCACUCCCACAUAUGGCUGACAGGGUCCCCAAGACUUGGUCCACAAUUGCAGUCAGUUCAUCCCAAAGCUCCUGGGUCCUUUGAGUCAUGUGCAUGCUUGGCCAGAGCUGGACCACCGCUCUCAGAGCCAGGACAACUAUGGUGGCCAUCGUGGGAACUGGGUAGUGCUGCUGAAUGUGGUUGGGGGUCAUCAGAAGCCAUCUGGAUACUCCCAUUGACCCAGGAGUGGGUGGCGAUCCAGCCCAGAAGUCAUCUAGGUGGAAUGUGGACAGAAGGACAAGAGCUCUGCAGACCCCUCCGGUGCCCCCAGGUUUCUGGAAAGCCCUCUAGGCAGCCAGCACAAGGUCAAAUACUUCUGCACAGAGAAUCCCUGCAGGGGGAUUUGUUCCGGGAAGGGAAUUACAUUUCAAUUUGAUUUAAUUCAAUGAGAAUGACACCAAAUUGAUCAGCUGGUAAAAUGCCAUUUGAUGGGCAGAUCUGCUCUUUCCAAGUCAAUAGGAACCUCCAGAAAAAUCAGUCUUGCUUUUUCAGACAGAACUGAAAGUUUUACCCAUUUCCUUUGCCUUUUAAAAAGGGCUCAAAUUCCUUGAAGGUGGAGGGCCUUUUCCUCAUAGAUUUAGGGACCUGAGCAAAGUAAUUAACCAACAGGCACCCAGGGGACACACUGUGCAACUUCUGUAUCAGGUUGUGUGUGUGUGUGUGUGUAUGUGUGUCACAUUAGUCAUCUUGUACCAGACUUUCCUGUGAUCUUGACAGAUUUCUCAGUUUCUCUGGGUCUCAGUUCUACCAUCUAUAAGAUGAGCAUUUAGCCUCCCUUGGUCCUGCACUGGGCCACGUCCUUUGGAGCAAUGGCACGAACAAUAACCACAGUCCCCAACAACCACUGUCACGGUCCCAACAAAUAGUCACUAGCAUUAUAUUUUUGCUUUUUUUUUUUUUUGGUGCUGGCAAGUGUCAGGCAAGUACUCUGUCUCUGAGCCACAACCCCAACUAGUGUCAUUCUUGAGCAGUUACUCUGUGCUGGGCACGAUUGAAAACUUCAUAUGUUUUUAUGGUUUGAGUAUGAGGUGUCACCAAAAUGUCCUACAUCCUGCGUUAAUGCAGGGAUAUUCAGAGUGAAAUGGUUAGGCAAUGAGAGUUGUAACCCAAUCAGCCCUUUCUAAUUCGAUAUAGACUGACUGGGUGGUAACUGCAGGUAGGUGGGGCUUGGCUGCUGGAGGCGGGUCACUGGGAUCACACCGGGAAGGGUUCAUCUUCCCUUCACCUUCCCCCUCCUUUCUUCCUGGCCACCAUGAGCUGAGCAGUGGUCCUCCAUGGUGCCCUCCUACCACGAUGCUCUACUUCACCUCAGGCCCACAGCCAUGGAGUCAGCCGGCCAGGAACUGAACCUGUGAAACCAUGAGUUGACAUAAACUCUCCCUCCUCUAAAUUAUUCUUGUCAGGUAUUUUGGUCAUACGGAUGCAAAGCUGACUAACACGUACGCAUUAUAUCACCUGGUAUUUGUAAUCAUUCCAUCAGGUAGAGACAGUCAGUUCUGCUGUUGCACUUAUUUUGAAAAUGUGCAUUUGUUUCGUCAUGAUCCAUGUAUUAGGGAAUCAUCGGAGCAUCAUGUUAAUUUUGCAAUUGCUUCCGCCUGGUAUCCUGGGCGAGGAACGCUAGACGGGCAUAGGAAACUGUACCCAGUUAAACCGGGCUGAGUGGAAAUACCCAGAAAGCACAGGUGCACACCCCUCAGAAUCUACGGGCUUCCUUCCUUCAUCCUGUGUUUUAGGAGACGCUGACCUGGUGCCCUGACUUUCCUUCUGAUUUCAGAUCCUCCUCCUCCCCUCUCUUGACAGGGACUCACAAGCUGCAGUCCUUUGAUGCUCAUUUCUGCAAGCAAACAAAAGGUCUUUGGCACGGUAACCCAUCGUGCUUGUUGUACAUGUAUAUGUAAUUUUCACAUCUUAAUCAUUUAGUGUGUGUAAAACCAUGCUGCCAUUUUUUUUUUAAAACCAGGUUCCUCUUUAAAGAAAUGUUCCCCAAGAGAUUUUUGAGUGGUUCCCAAUCCACUGUUUCCAGAAGCCCUGUGGUUUUUGUACAGCAUGGUGAUUUAUUUUAUCUUAUUUUAAAAUUUCCCCCAAUUUUGAUAAAAUAUGCAGAACCUAAAAUGGACCAUUUUAACCAUUUUUAAGAAGACGGCUUAGUGGAACUAAGUCCAUUCACAGUGUUGUACCACUGACCUCGCUGUCCAUCUGCAGAGUUCUCUUCGUCUUUCUGGACCGAGUACCCUUUAAACGGCAGCUCUCAUUUCCUCUCCCCAUUGCUCCUGGCAACCUCCAUUCAACUUUCCGUCUCUCCGUGUUUGGUUCUGCUGUGCACCUCACGUCCUCAAGUUUUAUCCACAUUGCCGCGGGUGUCAGAAUGUCCUUUUUUUUUUAAACGCUGAAUAAUAUUUGAUUGUCGGUAGAGAACCCAAAUUUUGCUUCUCCCUAUCCUGAUGAAUUUGGGGACUGCCUAAGUGGAGUGACAGCGGAACUGUACUUUUUCGAUUUUGCACACAAGGAAGCUAAGGUGCCGAGUGGUUAGGUGACUCCCUCAACUGCCAGCUAAUAAGUGGGACACUCAGGAUUUGAACCCAGGUCUCGCUGAUUCUGCAACUUGUGCUUCAAAUGCUGUGCAACUCUGCUUUCUUCUUUUCAUGUUAUUGUCACCAAUCCAAAUGAUGUUGACUGGGAGUCGGUUUGGUUAUUAAUUUCCUGUUGUUAACAGAAGCUAUAGUGUCUGAAAUCUCUGCUGCACCAUCUGGAAUUUUUAAUAAAAACUUGAGGAAUUUCCAGGG
Molecule: long non-coding RNA, 3275 nt
Organism: Ictidomys tridecemlineatus (thirteen-lined ground squirrel)
Lineage: Eukaryota; Metazoa; Chordata; Mammalia; Rodentia; Sciuridae
Source: RefSeq, a predicted model, not a curated record